UUACCUGCAUUUGAUCCUGUUCUCUACAUCCUGAAGUUGAACCGUAAAGGUCUCAAGCCCGACCGUGACAGAAUGAUGCCACCAGACAAUGACCUCGUGGAGAUGGACUUCUGGACCCUGCAUGUCUUCAAGGCAAUGGAGGAGGAGUGUGCACAAUUCACUCCAGAGGAGCUGGAGGAUCUGGACGGGGAACCCUCACUCCCAUAAACAGCCAAAAAUGCCAGUUUUUUGAGGGUGCUGAAAAGAAAACGUAAGGGGGGAAACCUCACACAUUCAAUAGGAGGAAAGCAGAGGAGGCUGAGAGGAGGAGACUGGACGCCAUAACCAAGAGGCAUCUCACUGUCGGGAACAGGAAGUAAACGAAUGCACAUGAAACACAAAAUAGCAAAAUAAAAGCUAAUACGUUGGA
Non-coding RNA from Doryrhamphus excisus (bluestripe pipefish), 409 nucleotides. Lineage: Eukaryota; Metazoa; Chordata; Actinopteri; Syngnathiformes; Syngnathidae. The record is from RefSeq and is a predicted model, not a curated record.